RNAcentral lists this ribosomal RNA (794 nucleotides) under Staphylococcus sp. AG02-15. RNAcentral describes it as "bacterial SSU rRNA". It matches the Rfam family "Bacterial small subunit ribosomal RNA", at positions 32 to 797 of the family's 1533-position model. The record is from RNAcentral. Lineage: Bacteria; Bacillati; Bacillota; Bacilli; Caryophanales; Staphylococcaceae.
GGUACCUAAGGCGUACCUAAACAUGCAAGUCGAGCGAACAGACGAGGAGCUUGCUCCUCUGUACGUUAGCGGCGAGACGGUGUGAGUAACACUGUGGUAUAACCUACUCUAUAACACUGGAUAUAUCUUCGGAGAAACCGGAGUCUUAUACCGAGUAUAAUAUAUGUGAACCGCGUGGUUCAUUAGUGAAGGACGGUUUUGCUGUCACUUAUAGAUGGAUCCGCGCCGCAUUAGCUAGUUGGUAAGGUAACGGCUUACCAAGGCAACGAUGCGUAGCCGACCUGAGAGGGUGAUCGGCCACACUGGAACUGAGACACGGUCCAGACUCCUACGGGAGGCAGCAGUAGGGAAUCUUCCGCAAUGGGCGAAAGCCUGACGGAGCAACGCCGCGUGAGUGAUGAAGGUCUUCGGAUCGUAAAACUCUGUUAUUAGGGAAGAACAAAUGUGUAAGUAACUAUGCACGUCUUGACGGUACCUAAUCAGAAAGCCACGGCUAACUACGUGCCAGCAGCCGCGGUAAUACGUAGGUGGCAAGCGUUAUCCGGAAUUAUUGGGCGUAAAGCGCGCGUAGGCGGUUUUUUAAGUCUGAUGUGAAAGCCCACGGCUCAACCGUGGAGGGUCAUUGGAAACUGGAAAACUUGAGUGCAGAAGAAGAAAGUGGAAUUCCAUGUGUAGCGGUGAAAUGCGCAGAGAUAUGGAGGAACACCAGUGGCCAAGGCGACUUUCUGGUCUGUAACUGACGCUGAUGUGCGAAAGCGUGGGGAUCAAACAGGAUUAGAUACCCUGGUAGUCCC